UACCAGCACCCCGAGUGGUCGGGACGAUUAUUGGGCCUAAAGCAUCCGUAGCCGGUUCUGCAAGUCCCCCGUUAAAUCCAGCUGCUCAACAGAUGGGCCGCGGAGGAUACUCCAGAGCUAGGAGGCAGGAGAGGCAAGCGGUACUCAGUGGGUAGGGGUAAAAUCCGUUGAUCCAUUGAAGACCACCAGUGGCGAAGGCGGCUUGCCAGAAUGCGCUCGACGGUGAGGGAUGAAAGCUGGGGGAGCAAACGGG
Molecule: ribosomal RNA, 253 nt
Filed under: uncultured bacterium
Lineage: Bacteria
Description: partial 16S ribosomal RNA
Rfam family: Archaeal small subunit ribosomal RNA
Source: RNAcentral